RNAcentral lists this ribosomal RNA (536 nucleotides) under Salmonella enterica subsp. enterica serovar Montevideo. Its description in RNAcentral is "partial 23S ribosomal RNA". It matches the Rfam family "Bacterial large subunit ribosomal RNA", at positions 657 to 1191 of the family's 2925-position model. Lineage: Bacteria; Pseudomonadati; Pseudomonadota; Gammaproteobacteria; Enterobacterales; Enterobacteriaceae. The record is from RNAcentral.
AUAGGGGAGCCGGAGGGAAACCGAGUCUUAACCGGGCGUUAAGUUGCAGGGUAUAGACCCGAAACCCGGUGAUCUAGCCAUGGGCAGGUUGAAGGUUGGGUAACACUAACUGGAGGACCGAACCGACUAAUGUUGAAAAAUUAGCGGAUGACCUGUGGCUGGGGGUGAAAGGCCAAUCAAACCGGGAGAUAGCUGGUUCUCCCCGAAAGCUAUUUAGGUAGCGCCUCGUGAACUCAUCUCCGGGGGUAGAGCACUGUUUCGGCUAGGGGGCCAUCCCGGCUUACCAACCCGAUGCAAACUGCGAAUACCGGAGAAUGUUAUCACGGGAGACACACGGCGGGUGCUAACGUCCGUCGUGAAGAGGGAAACAACCCAGACCGCCAGCUAAGGUCCCAAAGUCAUGGUUAAGUGGGAAACGAUGUGGGAAGGCCCAGACAGCCAGGAUGUUGGCUUAGAAGCAGCCAUCAUUUAAAGAAAGCGUAAUAGCUCACUGGUCGAGUCGGCCUGCGCGGAAGAUGUAACGGGGCUAAACCAUG